Ornithorhynchus anatinus (platypus) is the source of this 1845-nucleotide RNA transcript. It is a transcript of the gene named solute carrier family 22 member 15-like, with no coding region annotated. The record is from RefSeq and is a predicted model, not a curated record. Lineage: Eukaryota; Metazoa; Chordata; Mammalia; Monotremata; Ornithorhynchidae. The transcript is spliced from 14 exons.
CCCGCGGCCCCGCCGAUCGCCCGUCCCGGAUGGAGGUGGACGGGGCUUUGAGCGCGGCGGGGGAGUUCGGCCGCUGCCAGAAGCGCCUCACGGCCUUCCUGGUGCUGCUCCAGGUGUAUGUGGCCUGCCAGUCUGUGCUCAUUGUGUUGGUGGGUGCGGUGCCAGAGUAUCAUAUCAACCAGGAAGAGAGUCCUACUAACCAAGAAGAACUUGCCAAGCAUGUCCAAUUUGCAGAUAACUUUACAUCUAUAGUAACUGAGUGGUGCUUAAUCAAGCAUGAAGCGUAUAAAGUGAGCCUAGUGUCAUCCUUAUUCUUUGUUGGUUUGUUGAUUGGAAAUAUCACCUUUGGCCCAUUGUCUGACAGAUUUGGCCGGAAGCCUGUAUUUUUGACAGGUCUCCUUUUUGAUGUCAUCUUUGGUUAUAUUUCGGCAUUUGCUCCAAGUUAUAGAGUGUUUGCCUUGUCACGCCUUGGUGUUGGAGUGAUGAAUGGCGGAAUGUCAUUAGUGUCUUUCGUUUUGACCCAAGAAUAUGUGGGAAAAACAUUUUGGGCAUUAACAGGUUCAUUAACAAAUGUGACAUUCGCGGUGGGCAUAGCAUUCUACGCCAUACUGGGUUACUGCAUAAGGGAUUGGCGGACCUUGACACUUGUUUCAAAUUCUCCUGGAGUUUUGUUCUUCCUACUCUCACUUUUGCUUCCUGAAUCACCAAGAUGGCUGUAUUCCCAAGGGGACGUGGAAAAAGCAGAGGAGGUGCUGCAGUACAUAGCCCACGGUAAUGGAAAUGAAAGAUUGAGGAUAAAAUUGAAACCAUGUGUGGAAACUAUCAAAAUACAUGACUCAGCACCCGGUGUCCUAAACCUAGUGAAACAUCCAGUCCUCUGUUGGCGAACUGUCACCUUGAUGUAUAUCUGGUAUGUCUGCAGCCUUGUGUAUUAUGGUCUUACCCUGAAUGCUGGUGAGCUAAAAGGAAGCCUGUAUAUAAAUAUAGCUCUUUAUGGCCUUGUGGAAGUCCCAGCAUUCCCUCUCUGCAUAUUCUUUAUUGAGAAGUCCUGGGCAGGAAGACAAAAAACCACUGCCGUUUUUCUCAUUUUUGCUGGAUUUGCCUGCAUAUUUUCCACAUUUUUACCUGAACACUCAGAUUUUCUUGUCAGCCCCACAUGGUUAGCCUUGGGUGGAAAAUUGACUGUGAGUGCUGCCUUCAACAUUGUCUACAUUUAUACAUCUGAACUCUACCCUACAGUAAUAAGGAAUGCCGGCCUAGGUGUUUGUUCAAUGGCUUGCAGAUUUGGUGGGAUUUUGGCUCCUUUUAUACCGUCAAUGAAAUACUUUAACCCAAUGGUACCAUUUCUGGUGUUUGGAAUUAGUGGAUUAUCUGCCGGAGUUUUGGUUCUGUUUCUACCAGAAACUCUAAAUAAACCCAUUAUAGAGAACUUUGAAGACCUCUGACAACUGAGUACUUGAAAGAUAAGCUUGCACCCGGAGCCCCCCUCGCUUUGGGAGAGCACUGAUUCCUGUGUGGUUGAUUGAGAUGGAGCAUACCAUGGAAAAAUCACAACUUGAUCAAUCUUCUAUCAUUUGUGGGUUUGAUGCAUUUGGAAGUUUUUCUGAAAAGCAACAUAAAGUUUGGCUCAUCUUCUCUUAAGUGAUUCUUGAAGGCACGCUACUGUGUAUUCCUGGCAAACUCCUGCGUACUUCUGGGGAAACAGAAAGCUACUAAAAUUUGCUAUCUACCAACUCUAUGUGGCUUUGCUUCAAGAGCACAAGCUUGAGAGUAGAGGACGUGAGCUCUGAUCAUGGCUCUGCCAUUUGUCUGCUGUGUGACUUUGGGCAAGCCACUUAUCUUCUC